This 84-nucleotide transfer RNA is filed under the name Akkermansia sp. RNAcentral describes it as "tRNA-Leu". It matches the Rfam family "tRNA". Rfam says of the family: Transfer RNA (tRNA) molecules are approximately 80 nucleotides in length. Lineage: Bacteria; Pseudomonadati; Verrucomicrobiota; Verrucomicrobiia; Verrucomicrobiales; Akkermansiaceae. The record is from RNAcentral.
GCUACAGUGGCGGAAUGGUAGACGCAGGAGACUUAAAAUCUCCCGGAGGUUAACUCUGUACGGGUUCGAGUCCCGUCUGUAGUA